GACUAUCAGUCUUGCAAUUGGAUUGAGAACAAUGUACAACUCUUAUCGAUAAGCCAUUGGAGGGCAAGUCUGGUGCCAGCAGCCGCGGUAAUUCCAGCUCCAAUAGCGUAUAUUAACGUUGUUGCAGUUAAAAAGCUCGUAGUUGAAGUGUGGGUGAUCGCUGUUGUGAGACUUCGGUCUCUCGACAGUAAGUCACCCCCUUCCAGUAUCCAGUAGUGGGUAUUCAGUUACUUACUACUGUGUGUUGGUCGUUUACUGUGAGAAAAUUAGAGUGUUCAAAGCAGGCGUUUGCUUGAAUAGAUUAGCAUGGAAUAAUAAUUGAAGGCUUUCGUGUUCGAUUUGAUUGGUUUGUUCAUGGAAGCAAGGUUAAAAGGAACAGUUGGGGGUAUUCAUAUUCACUAGUUAGAGGUGAAAUUCUCGGAUUUAUGGAA
RNAcentral lists this ribosomal RNA (431 nucleotides) under Blastocystis sp. RNAcentral describes it as "SSU rRNA". It matches the Rfam family "Eukaryotic small subunit ribosomal RNA", at positions 489 to 933 of the family's 1831-position model. The record is from RNAcentral. Lineage: Eukaryota; Bigyra; Opalinata; Blastocystidae.